CCACUGUCAGGAAGCCACUCACAGUCGCAGCACACUUGGAGUGACUCUGGAGACCCGCACCCGGCCGGCUCAGCUAGUCAGCAUGGCGGGGGAGACGGUGCUGGUCACCGGCGCCAGCGGCUUCAUCGGCUCGACCCUCGUCCGCCUCCUCCUCGGCCGCGGCUACAACGUCCACGCCGGCGUCCUCAACCCCGAUGACGGGGCGGAGACGGAGCACCUGCUCGCCAUGGCCGCUGGCGCUGGCGCUGGCGAGGGCCGCCUCCGCAUCUUCCGUGGCGACCUCCUUGACGACGCCGCGCGGGGCUGCUCGGGCGUCUUCCACCUCGCGUCGCCCUGCACCGUCGACCCCGUCAGCGACCCCCAGAAGCAACUGAUAGUGCCGGCAGUGGAAGAACGGGUGACCCGCCGGCGAUCUCCGCGACGAGCGCUGCUGGACUGACAUCGACUACUGCAAGAAGAACGGGGUUUGGUACCCUGUUUCCAAGACGCUGGCAGAGAAGGCAGCGUGGAGGUUUGCAGAGGAGAACGGGCUGGACGUGGUUGUGGUUAAUCCAAUGUCUGUCCUGGGCCAGAUAAUCCCACCGACCAUCAAUUCUAGCAUGUCCGUCCUUCUACGCCUCCUUCAAGGCUGCACAGAGGAGUACAAGGAUAUCUGGAUGGGGGUAGUCCACGUGGAAGACGUCGCCUUGGCCCAUCUCCUGGUGUUCGAGAACCCAUCAGCUUCCGGGAGGCACAUCUGCGCCGAGUCCAUCAGUCACCUGAGUGACUUCGCGGCCAAACUCGCCGAGCUCUACCCCAACAACAAAGUGCCCAAGUUCCCCAAGGACACCCAGCCUGGGCUGGUAAGAGCGGAGGCGGGAGUGGCGUCGAAGAAGCUCGUCGAGCUAGGGCUGCAGUUCAGCCCUCUGGAGAAGAUCAUCAGGGAUGCCGUGGAGAGCCUCAAGACCAAAGGGUACAUUUCGUAGCUAGCCGUGAGGGUGCUAUAAUGCCUUUCAUGAACCUUUUGAUUAUAUGAUUUGUAGUUGUAACUAGUAACAAAGAUGUCUUUCAUGAACCUUAAUAAUUGACAAUUUGUAAUUCUGGAAAGUGAGGUCGAAACUUAGAUAUCUCCUAUAAGGAGUUGCAACUAUGGAACCUGAAUACCUUGAUGAUUCGAAAAGGUUCAAAUUU
Molecule: RNA transcript, 1170 nt
Organism: Zea mays
Lineage: Eukaryota; Viridiplantae; Streptophyta; Magnoliopsida; Poales; Poaceae
Gene name: cinnamoyl-CoA reductase 1-like
Exons: 6
Source: RefSeq, a predicted model, not a curated record